UGUCUUAUAAUAAUGGGACCAUUGUUCAUCAUAUUACGUAUUUUGUCUUAUCGUGGAACCAUAUUUUUUUUACCAGUUAACCCCGCCUUCCAGUAUUACAACAGUCCUCUGAACUCCGCCCACGUGAGAGCAUCGUUGUACUCUGUGUGUAACUGAUUUUCCUCCUUUUGAUCAUAAGUAAACUUUUAAAAGACUUCUGGAGCGAGAACCUUUUUCUUCUACAAACAAAGGGAAAACGGAUUUUCUCCCCUGAUACUUCAUCCUUCAAAGCUAGCUGACUGAACACUGAGGUCCUGCGCUGUGAACUUGGAGAAGCAAAAGUUGAACAGCAUGCAAAUGGCGAUGAUGGCGCGGCGCCUCCUGUGGCCUUUUGUCCUAAUGGGAGGUUUGAGCUGCGUGGCUCUGGAAAUCCACCCGGAGGAGUCCCACUACUACGCCGCCGAGGGCUCCAAUGUCACAAUGCCUUGCCAGUACAAUGACACCCUGAACAGCACAGAGUACAUCAGAUGGAGUUUCACCCGCUUUGAUGCCUACCCACCGCUCAUCAUUCUGCUCAGUGACGGCCGGUUGCACUUCGAUCUUGACACACCGAUGAAGGGCAGGGUCCGUUUCGCGGCACGCGAUCCCCAAAAUGGAGACGCUUCUCUCACCAUUAGCAACGUCAGUCGCUCAGACGAAAUGACUUACAUUUGCAUUGUGAAGAAGUUACCUGAAAUGAAGAAGAUAAUGACCCUGAGGGUCAUGGAGCCACCAAGUCAACCGAUUUGCAACUUGCAAGGGGAAUUCGCCCAAGGCAAUAACGUGACGCUCACAUGCUUGUCUAUCCAUGGUGAAUCUCCUCUGACGUACACCUGGGCCAAGAUCAGCGGAAACCAGGUUCUCCCCGCCGAUGCCGUGGUGGACUCCAUCAGAGGCACCCUGCGUGUAGAUAAAAUCACCGAGGGGGACUGUGGAAGCUAUUGCUGCACAGUAGAGAGCUUGGUCGGAAGCAAAAGCUGUGAGCUCGUCCUCCCCUGCCCGGACGUGCCAGAAGCCCAUAUGUCCUCUGCGCUGCUGAUUACCAUCUCCAUCACGGUGGUCCUCGUCAUCCUUGCUGUUUCCAUCAUUACCACUGGCUGCUUGUGGUGGUUCAGAAAGAAGACAGGGCAGUAUAACUUCAGUGAUGUGCCACCUCCUUCCCGAUGGAUUCCAAAAAUAAAAGAGAUUUUGCCGUCUUUGCACUACGAGGCCAAAGACCAGACCGUCACCAUGUCCGCUUGAUCACAGCGCCAUUUCACUUGCUUCAAGACUAAAGAUCGAUGAGUGGCAUCACAACUCCUCGCACCCUGAAGGCGAUGCAUCCACGCUGUGACACUAAACAGGACAACACGCAGGAUUCAAGACACAGCAUCUCGGCGGACUGCAAAUUUUGAUGGUAAGUGCUUUAUUCAAGUCCUUAUCGCGUUUUGUCACUUCUUGACUGUUAUACAAGUUAUUCAAUCAAGGAUUAACAAAAUAGCCAGUGUAUUUGUUAUCUGCCAUGUCUCCACGUCAUUCCAAUGUUGUUGCAGGACAACAUAUGGAGGGAGAAAGCAUUUACUCAGUAUUGCUGUAAAUGUUUCAAUGUUGGAAUACCCUUAGGGCCCCUGCCCCCUGAGCCAAGCUCUUCCUCCUUGUGUUUGUGUACACUGCUGGCCAAAAGUAUUGGCACACGUGCAAUUCUGUCAGAUAAUGCACAAUUUUUCCCAGAAAAUGAUGGCAAUUACAAAUGCUUUGGUAGUAAUUUCUUCAUUUAUUUUGCUUGCGAUGAAAAACCCCAGAAGAGAGAAGAAAAAAAAAAAACUCCAAAUAUGGGCUGGACAAAAGUAUUGGCACCCUCAGCCUCAUACUUAAUAGCACAACCUUUGGACAAAAUAACGGUGAACAACCAUUUUCCAUUUUCCAUCCAUUUUCUUACAAUGCUCUGCUGGAAUUUUAGACAAUUCUUCUUUAGCCAACUUCUCCAGGUCUCUGAUAUUUGAAGGGUGCCUUCUCCAAACUGCCAUUUUCAGAUCUAUCCUCAGGUGUUCUAUAAGAUUCAGGUUUGGACUCAUUGCUGCUCAUUUUAGAAGUCUCCAGUGCUUUCUCUCAAAUCACUUUCUAAUGCUUUUUGAAGUGUGUUUUGGAUCAUUGUCCUGCUGGAAGACCAAUGACAUCUGAGGAAGACCCAACUUUCUCACAGUGAGCCCUACAUCAUGCUGAAAAAUCUCUUGGUAGUCUUCAGACUUCAUACUGCCAUGCACACGGUCAAGCAGUCCAGUGUCAGAGGCAGCAAGGCAACCCCAAAACAUCAGGGAACUUCAACCAUGUUUGAUUGUGGGGACAGUGUUCUUUUCUGGGAAGGCCUCGUUUAUUUCCUGUAAACUGUAUGUUGAUGCCUUCUCCCAAAAGCUCUACUUUUGUCUCAUCUGACCAAAGAACAUUCUUCCAAAACUGUUCCAGCUUUCUCAGGGAAGUUUUGGCAAACUCCAGUCUCGAUUUUUUUAUGUCUGCGACAGAAGUGGGGUCUUCAUGGGAAUCACUACGCUAGAGUCCCUCUUCAUUCAGACGCCGACGGAUUGUACGGGUUGACACUGUCAGGACAGCUUGAACUUGUUUGGAUGUUAGUCGAGGUUCUUUAUCCACCAUUGGCAAAAUCUUUCGUUGAAAUCUCUCAUCAUUUUUUCUUUUCCACAGUGCCGUUGGGUUUAAACUUAUUGAUGACACUGUGCACAGUAGACACAGGAACAUUCAGGUCUUUGGAGAAGGACUUGUAGCCUUGAGAUUGCCCAUGCUUCCUCACAAUUUUGCUUCUCAAGUCCUCAGACAGUUCUUUGGUCUUCUUUCUUUUCGCCAUGCUCAGUGUGGUACACACAAGGACACAGGACAGAGGCUGAGUCAACUUUAAUCCAAUUUAAAUGGCUGUAAGUGUUAUUUAGUUAUUGCCACCACGAGUUAUGUGCCACAGGUAAGUACCAGGUGCUGUUAAUUACCCAAAUUAGAGAAGCAUCACAUGAUUUUUCAAAGGAUUCCAAUACUUUUGUUUGGUCCAUUUUUGGAGUUUUGUGUAAAAUUAUCAUGAUUUAUUUUCCCCCCCAUUCUCUUUUGUGUUUUGUCAUUGCAAGCAAAGUAAAUGCAGAUAUUAAUACCAAAGCAUUUGUAAUUGCGAUCAUCUUCUGGGAGAAAUUCAGCAUUAUCUGACAGAAUUGCAGGGCUGCCAAUAUUUUUGGCCAGCAGUGUAUGUGUGUCACUGCCUUGAUUGCAGGAUUGUAUAGAUUCAGGGACCCUGGGACCAAGUGCAGGUGAUCUUCAGCAGCUUACGUAAAUCGGUCCUUGGCCUCAAAUCAUCGCCAGAUCAACAACUCAACUACACAAGUUGAUCCUGUACUGCUUGCCUGUCCGUUCACCUGUUCUGUCACCAAAUUGCCCACCGGAUUCUUCAGACGCUAUCUGCCACUCCCUCUCAUCGUCAAUCAACUCUUGUCACCACUGCCAGUUUGCCCCAGUUUGCCUCGUAACUCCAGAACCUUAAAGUGGAAGUUCAGAAUUUUUGACAGUAGACUUAAUCUUCGAGGAAGCGUUUAAUGGGUUUAAUUAGUUGUUGGAGUUGAUUUCAACAAGUUACGUGCAGUUUGUAAGUUAUUUGUUAGUUUCAGGGCUCCGGAGUGGCUAAGCAUAGCGCGAGUCAAUGGUCCUUUCCUAGCACACCAAUAAAAAAACGAUACAGAUUUACGAACAGGUCCAACUUAGCGAAAUAAAUUCAAAAUGCUUGAAAAUUGUUCCAAAACACCCAUGCGGCCAAAACAAUUGUCACAACAAACUGCCGUAAUUCAUUUCAUUCUUCAGGACUUUUUUUUUUUUAAUGCUUGAUAUGACCCCAAUAAAACUGAAAAUAUAAGUGAAAAAAAAAACGAUGUGAUAUCACUCUGCUCUGCUCCUCUGCAGAGCUGCUGGUUUAAAAAUGUUGCUGUUCACAGUGCAAUUAUUGGUAUGUAAAGGUAAGUUUUAAUAACUUUAUCCGGAAAACAUACCCAACACUAUUGAUUGAAUGGGUCAUUGAUGAUUUUCAUGUGUGCACAUGUUGUUUUUUAAUGGCUUGCUAAGUUAGCCCAAUUGAAUCGCACUAGCUUAGCCAUUCCAGAGCACUGAAACUAACAAAUAACUAACAAACUACACAGAAUUGGUUGAAAUCAACUCCACCGACUCGUUAAACUCUAGCUAACUCUAACUGAUGUCAAAAAUUCUGAACUUCCCCUUUAACAAAUACAGUCUGUUGUUUACAGUCUCAAAAUGGGUCACCUUUAAUGUGGAGAUUCUUGUUCCAAUUUGUGAAAAAAAUAAUGUAAUGUUAUGGUACAUUAACAUGUUAGCAUUAAUAAACAGCAUGAAAAAAGUGUU
RNA transcript from Corythoichthys intestinalis (scribbled pipefish), 4395 nucleotides. It is a transcript of the gene named coxsackievirus and adenovirus receptor homolog, with no coding region annotated. Lineage: Eukaryota; Metazoa; Chordata; Actinopteri; Syngnathiformes; Syngnathidae. The record is from RefSeq and is a predicted model, not a curated record. The transcript is spliced from 6 exons.